ACUCAAAGGAAUUGACGGGGACCCGCACAAGCAGCGGAGCGUGUGGUUUAAUUCGAUGCGACGCGAAGAACCUUACCAAGGCUUGACAUCUAUUCGCAACACCCCGAAAAGGGUGCCUCCUUCGGGACGGAUAGACAGAUGUUGCAUGGCUGUCGUCAGCUCGUGUCGUGAGAUGUUGGGUUAAGUCCCGCAACGAGCGCAACCCUUGUCCUUAGUUGCAAAUCUAAGGAGACCGCCGGAAACAAACCGGAGGAAGGUGGGGAUGACGUCAAGUCAGCAUGACUCUUACGUCUUGGGCUACACACACGCUACAAUGGCCGCCACAACCAGAAGCCACCCAGCGAUGGGGAGCAGACCUGUGAAAGGUGGUCGUAGUUCAGAUUGCACUCUGCAACCCGAGUGCAUGAAGAUGGAGUUGCUAGUAACCGCGUGUCAGCACAGCGCGGUGAAUAUGUUCCCGGGUCUUGCACACACCGCCCGU
Molecule: ribosomal RNA, 481 nt
Filed under: uncultured bacterium
Lineage: Bacteria
Description: partial 16S ribosomal RNA
Rfam family: Bacterial small subunit ribosomal RNA
Source: RNAcentral